AUGGCGGAAGGAAAUGAGGGCCACGUCAAUGAAUCCGAAAAUGAUGCCACAUCAACAUAUCGGUUCCGGGUACUUCUCGGGACAACCGACAAAAACAGAGAAGCACGAGGGGCACUGGUUAGGAUGGAGCUCAGAUCCUUAGCAAGGAAGAGAUGCAGGGGUUCGAACGGAGCCGAGGCUAGGCCUGUGGAAGCAGGGAAUGACGAGAGGCUGACGGAGAGCGCCGAGGUGGAGGCGACCCGAUCCGGCGGCGGGGAGCUCCAUCGGAGUAGGAAGGACUGCGGCGACAACCAUGGGGGCUCCUGCUCCUGUUGGGCGAUGAAGAUAGGCGCAGUGCCCAUGGCAGGGGCGGAGGCGCGGCGCCCCGGGUCGUCGGUGUCCGGCAGGGUCGCGGUGGCGGCCUCCAGCGAGGGAGCCGGACGGAGGCGGUGCGAUGGCGGCACUGGAGGGACGGGGAGAGGGAGCGAUGCGGCGGAGUGGGAGGACGUGACGAGGGGCAUGUGUGCGGCGCAGAAGGAAGGAUGGGAUCGAUUCGGUCCCUCUGGUGGCGGGGUGGAGAUGAGGGAAAGGGAGAGAUCGAUCGGGAGAUGA
This 591-nucleotide ribosomal RNA is filed under the name Triticum aestivum (bread wheat). Its description in RNAcentral is "partial small subunit ribosomal RNA". Lineage: Eukaryota; Viridiplantae; Streptophyta; Magnoliopsida; Poales; Poaceae. The record is from RNAcentral.